RNAcentral lists this ribosomal RNA (798 nucleotides) under uncultured bacterium. Its description in RNAcentral is "bacterial SSU rRNA". It matches the Rfam family "Bacterial small subunit ribosomal RNA", at positions 1 to 825 of the family's 1533-position model. The record is from RNAcentral.
GCUUAGAGUUUGAUCCUGGCUCAGGAUGAACGCUGGCGGCGUGCCUAAGGUAUGCAAGUCGAUCGCGUAAAGGCGCUUGCGCUUCUACGCGAGGCGAACGGCUGAGUAACACGUAGGUACCUUCCCUUUAGUCAAGGAUAACCUCCCGAAAGGGUGGACAAUCCUGGAUGUAGUCCCGAUUUAUCGGGAUUAAAGGCUUCGGCCGCUAAAAGACGGGCCUGCGCCUUAUCAGAUUGUUGGUGGGGUAAAAGCUCACCAAGUCGAUGACGGGUAGCUAGGCUGAGAGGUUGUUUAGCCAGACUGGGACUGCGACACGGCCCAGACUCCUACGGGAGGCAGCAAUUAGGAAUCUUGCGCAAUGGGGGAAACCCUGACGCAGCGACGCCGCGUGGUGGAUGAAGGCCUUCGGGUCGUAAACACCUUUUGUAUGGGAACAAGUUCUGAGUGUACCAUACGAAUAAGCACCUUCUAACUACGUGCCAGAAGAAUCGGUGAUACGUAGGGUGCAAGCGUUAUCCGGAAUUACUGGGCGUAAAGAGAUGCGUAGGCGUCUUAGUAAGUCUUUAGUGAAAUCUUUCGGCUCAACCGGAAAAUUGCUGAAGAAACUACUUUGAUUGAGUCAGAUAGAGGAGGAGGGAAUUCCUGGUGGAGCGGUGAAAUGCGUUGAUAUCAGGAGGAACACCAAUUGGCGAGGCACUUCUCUGGGUCUAGACUGACGCUAAGGCUCGAAAGCGUGGGGAGCAAAACGGAUUAGAUACUCGUGUAGUCCACGCCGUAAACGAUCCCUACUAGAUAUUU